UUGGAACUUACCUUUCCGGCGAGACGAAGCUCGGCCUCCACCGCGAUUUCAGCCACGACGGACGACGGAGGAGGCGGCCAGGCGGCGGCCGUGCGCUCCCUAUGGCGGAGAGGGCAGAUGCCCUGUUCCAGACGAGGGGAUGGAGAGGAAGCUACCCGCGCCCUUGUCCGAGCAGGAGCCGAAGGAGGAAGACCAGAUGGACGGCGGCCGAGCUCCUUCACGGCGAGGCGGCGUGCGGCUGACUUCCGGUGAGACAGAGAGACGAGAGGGAGAGAAGAGGAGAGAGCCGAGAGGUAGAGAGGGAGAGUGAGGCGCUGAGCUUGAGUGUGUGUGUUAUGUGUUUUGUGUGUGUGGUAUAUGUUGUAUGUAUUAGGGUUAGGUUUAGGGUGGGCCGAAAAUUUUUUAAAAAAAGAGUGAGUGGGCCGAUUUUUAUUAAGUUGGGCUCAUGUUUUAAUUUGUUUGGGCCGAUUUUAUUUUACUUCUGCUGGGCUCUUUUUGUUUUAAAAUUGAUGGGUUUUUAUUUUAGUUGUGUAGGCUAAUUUUAUUUAAAUGCUUGGGCUAUUGUUUUAAAUAUAGGCCUACGAAUUUUGGCCUUAUUUCUUAAAAAAAAAAAAAAAAAAAUGUUUAAAUUUUCACUAAAUUACUUAGUGAAUUUAAAUCUCUUGAUUUAAAUUUUAAUAUUGGAAGUUGGGAUUAUUUAUUCUAAAUGAAGUCCAUUCUAUUAUUUAAAUUAUUAAUGGACUUUAAAGCAAAUAUUUUGGGAUUAAGCCCCAUUUAUUACAUGAUAAAAUUUUUUUCAAAGCUUACGAGUAUGGAUUUUUUUU
Molecule: long non-coding RNA, 824 nt
Filed under: Salvia miltiorrhiza (redroot sage)
Lineage: Eukaryota; Viridiplantae; Streptophyta; Magnoliopsida; Lamiales; Lamiaceae
Description: long non-coding RNA (SMIL_LNC011468)
Source: RNAcentral